CAGAAUUUGCAUUUUGAGACUGAAAAUUUUUAGAGUUUUAAUGAAUGUGCCUUGAAGUCCCAUGACUUAAAGUUUUCUUUAAAUUAAAAAUGGGAGUUAUAUCCAGUCCUCCUCCUACUCAAGGUGUCCCUUCAAGCAAUUCUUUUUGGCUGCUUCCAGGCUUGGUUUCAUUUGAGUCAGUGACCUAAGUUUCAACAACCCUUCCCUGGAGGUUCUUCCCAUGCCUUCUAAGAGCUGGCUGUGUGCUCACCUCUCCACGUAAGCUUUGUGGUUUUUCUUCUGCCAUGUGCUGCUGUCUGGAGCAUUCAGUGUUCAUGUAUGUAGAAGUUAUGACCUGCAAUAAUGUUUAUUGUUCUUAAUUUAUUUUCCAGCUUGUUCUUUUGGUCUCUCUUUAGAGCACUGAUAUGAAGGAAAGGCAGUAAAGAGAAGGUAAUAGGGAAUGAAUAGUUUUUCUCUUUUUUCAACAGUAGGAAGGUGCUCAAAGAAAUCUCACCUAAGAAGGAAGGUAUGUGAAUGACUAUGUUCAUUAGAGGUGAAAUAUCCAAAAAAAAAGUUAUGAUCCACAAGUUUUAGGAAGAGAAGAUGAGGAAUUGACCUAAAAUCAGGAGAAGAAGGAAUUGAGGUGAAACUCACGAUUUUUAGAGGAAUUAGACUCUUCAUCGUUGCUCAGUUCAGGUUAUCCAUGCACUUAGUUGUGGAGUCCCACAGUCAGCAGCAGUUUGUAUUCUUGAAAUAUAGUUUUCUCAUUUUUGAUCACAUUUAUUUGAAAUUAUGUCAUUUUAGUGCUUUAGAUGCAGAGGGGACUUCAUCUCCAUCUACGGCAUAGGAUGGCAGCAAUACUUACAAGAAAAAGCCUCACUGGCAGGGAGCAUCAGGUGAAAAUAAAGGACAAUCAGGAGAUUCAGAGAGCUGUCCUAGAAGAUUCACAGUGGCUGAAUGCUUCCUAAGUCUGCAAAUAUGGGAUCAUAAGGCAAUCCAGAACACCCCAUGAAGAGAACUGAAAGCUAUAGAAAAUCUCAGUGAUAAACUGAGGGUGAACUUCACUCUUGAGAAUAGAACUGUUGUUGUGGGGAGGAGCUGGUUGCUGAAGUAUUUUUCACAAGCAUAGGAAGAGAAAGGAUGCUUGCUACAGGAAACGCUUCCAACUCAUUUGUGAUUAGGAUAGAAAGCUGAAACCAGAUUUCCAAUUUUGGAGAAAUAUAGGGAGAGAAAGCUAUGAAUUAAUGAGGUAUUGUUUUUGUUGUAAUAGUGAAUUAACAUGAAGAUAGUACUUAGAAACUCUGCUUUUAACUCCACCUCCCUCAAAGGCCUAAGCAACACUGGAGACAAGCAUACUUAGGAGUAUGUUUUGAAAUUUGUCCAAUGUUGUUUUCCUGUCAGGGAACUGACUUGGAGUAAAAUUAAGCAGGUUUCCAUAUAGAGCAUUUUCUUGGGGAGAGGCAUGUGAAGGGGUUCUUUUCUGUUUGAUAGUAUGGAUUGCUUGUUUUAAUUCUGGUUUAGUUGCCAUUAUAUGAAACUUGAUGCAAGCCAGCAGUGUGUGCUUGCAGUCUCGAAGGCCAACUGUAUUCUGGGCUGCAUCAAAAGAGGAGUGGCCAGCAUGGCAAGGGAGGAGAUUGUUUCCUUCCCCAUGAGGCUCAUCUUUCACAUCUGAAAGGUGUGAAGCUGUUGGAGCAGGCCCAGAGGAGCCCACAAAGACCUCAAAGAUCAGAGGGCUGGAGCACCUCUUCUAUGGAGAAAGGUUGAGGGAGCUGGGCUUGUUCAUCCUGAAGAAGAGAAGGCUCUGGGGAGACCUAACUGUGUCCUUCCAGUACUUGAAGGGAGCUUAUAGAACUUAUAAACAGGAGGGGGACCA
This is a long non-coding RNA of Numida meleagris (helmeted guineafowl), 1852 nucleotides long. The record is from Ensembl. Lineage: Eukaryota; Metazoa; Chordata; Aves; Galliformes; Numididae.